GAUGAACGCUGGCGGCGUGCUUAACACAUGCAAGUCGAACGUGAUCCAUUAGCAAUAGUGGUGAAAGUGGCGAACGGGUGAGUAACACGUAGAUAACCUACCCUGAAGCGGGGGAUAACGAUUGGAAACGGUCGCUAAUACCGCAUGAGCCUAUUGAAGCGGGAGUGAGAUAGGGAAAAUUCAGGUGCUUUAGGCGGGGUCUGCGUCCGAUUAGCUAGUUGGUGAGGUAACGGCUCACCAAGGCGACGAUCGGUAGCUGGUCUGAGAGGACGAUCAGCCACACGGGAACUGAGACACGGUCCCGACUCCUACGGGGGCAGCAGUGAGGAAUAUUGGGCAAUGGGCGGAAGCCUGACCCAGCAACGCCGCGUGGAGGAUGAAGGCCUUCGGGUCGUAAACUCCUUUUGACGGGGACGAGGAAGGACGGUACCCGUCGAAUAAGUCACGGCUAACUACGUGCCAGCAGCCGCGGUAA
Molecule: ribosomal RNA, 475 nt
Filed under: uncultured bacterium
Lineage: Bacteria
Description: bacterial SSU rRNA
Rfam family: Bacterial small subunit ribosomal RNA
Source: RNAcentral